GAGUUUGAUCCUGGCUCAGGAUGAACGCCGGCGGUGUGCCUAAUACAUGCAAGUCGAACGCGUUGGCCCAACUGAUUGAACGUGCUUGCACGGACUUGACGUUGGUUUACCAGCGAGUGGCGGACGGGUGAGUAACACGUAGGUAACCUGCCCCAAAGCGGGGGAUAACAUUUGGUAACAGAUGCUAAUACCGCAUAACAAUUUGAAUCGCAUGAUUCAAAUUUAAAAGAUGGUUUCGGCUAUCACUUUGGGAUGGACCUGCGGCGCAUUAGCUUGUUGGUAGGGUAACGGCCUACCAAGGCUGUGAUGCGUAGCCGAGUUGAGAGACUGAUCGGCCACAAUGGAACUGAGACACGGUCCAUACUCCUACGGGAGGCAGCAGUAGGGAAUCUUCCACAAUGGGCGCAAGCCUGAUGGAGCAACACCGCGUGAGUGAAGAAGGGUUUCGGCUCGUAAAGCUCUGUUGUUAGAGAAGAACGUGCGUGAGAGCAACUGUUCACGCAGUGACGGUAUCUAACCAGAAAGUCACGGCUAACUACGUGCCAGCAGCCGCGGUAAUACGUAGGUGGCAAGCGUUAUCCGGAUUUAUUGGGCGUAAAGCGAGCCCAGGCGGUUUGAUAAGUCUGAUGUGAAAGCCUUUGGCUUAACCAAAGAAGUGCAUCGGAAACUGUCAGACUUGAGUGCAGAAGAGGACAGUGGAACUCCAUGUGUAGCGGUGAAAUGCGUAGA
Molecule: ribosomal RNA, 729 nt
Filed under: uncultured bacterium
Lineage: Bacteria
Description: bacterial SSU rRNA
Rfam family: Bacterial small subunit ribosomal RNA
Source: RNAcentral